RNAcentral lists this ribosomal RNA (380 nucleotides) under uncultured bacterium. Its description in RNAcentral is "bacterial SSU rRNA". It matches the Rfam family "Bacterial small subunit ribosomal RNA", at positions 28 to 409 of the family's 1533-position model. The record is from RNAcentral.
GACGAACGCUGGCGGCGUGCUUAACACAUGCAAGUCGAGCGGUAAGGCCCUUUCGGGGGUACACGAGCGGCGAACGGGUGAGUAACACGUGGGUGACCUGCCCUCAGCUCUGGGAUAAGCCUGGGAAACCGGGUCUAAUACUGGAUAUGACUCCAUGACGCAUGUUGUGGGGUGGAAAGCCUUGUGCGGCUGAGGAUGGGCCCGCGGCCUAUCAGCUUGUUGGUGGGGUGANGGCCUACCAAGGCGACGACGGGUAGCCGGCCUGAGAGGGCGACCGGCCACACUGGGACUGAGACACGGCCCAGACUCCUACGGGAGGCAGCAGUGGGGAAUCUUGCGCAAUGGGCGAAAGCCUGAUCCAGCGAUGCCGCGUGUGUGAA